RNAcentral lists this ribosomal RNA (483 nucleotides) under uncultured bacterium. RNAcentral describes it as "bacterial SSU rRNA". It matches the Rfam family "Bacterial small subunit ribosomal RNA", at positions 234 to 727 of the family's 1533-position model. The record is from RNAcentral.
GGGCCUAUCAGCUUGUUGGUGGGGUAAUGGCCUACCAAGGCGGCGACGGGUAGCCGGCCUGAGAGGGUGGACGGCCACAUUGGGACUGAGAUACGGCCCAGACUCCUACGGGAGGCAGCAGUGGGGAAUAUUGCACAAUGGGCGCAAGCCUGAUGCAGCGACGCCGCGUGGGGGAUGACGGCCUUCGGGUUGUAAACUCCUUUCGCUAGGGACGAAGCUUUUUGUGACGGUACCUAGAUAAGAAGCACCGGCUAAAUACGUGCCAGCAGCCGCGGUAAUACGUAGGGUGCGAGCGUUGUCCGGAAUUACUGGGCGUAAAGGGCUUGUAGGUGGUUUGUCGCGUUGUCUGUGAAAUUCCGGGGCUUAACUCCGGGCGUGCAGGCGAUACGGGCAUAACUUGAGUACUGUAGGGGUAACUGGAAUUCCUGGUGUAGCGGUGAAAUGCGCAGAUAUCAGGAGGAACACCGAUGGCGAAGGCAGGUU